GCCCAGGUGGUGAAAUUGGUAGACUCAGGGGACUCAAAAUCCCCCGCCGCAAGGCGUGCCGGUUCGAGUCCGGCCCUGGGCACCA
RNAcentral lists this transfer RNA (85 nucleotides) under Rhodoferax sp. RNAcentral's name for it is "tRNA-Leu". It matches the Rfam family "tRNA". From Rfam's summary of the family: Transfer RNA (tRNA) molecules are approximately 80 nucleotides in length. Their secondary structure includes four short double-helical elements and three loops (D, anti-codon, and T loops). Lineage: Bacteria; Pseudomonadati; Pseudomonadota; Betaproteobacteria; Burkholderiales; Comamonadaceae. RNAcentral also lists the same sequence under 21 other names. The record is from RNAcentral.